RNAcentral lists this ribosomal RNA (320 nucleotides) under uncultured bacterium. Its description in RNAcentral is "bacterial SSU rRNA". It matches the Rfam family "Bacterial small subunit ribosomal RNA", at positions 355 to 692 of the family's 1533-position model. The record is from RNAcentral.
UAGGGAAUAUUAGAAAUGGACGCAAGUCUGAUCUAGCAACACCGCGUGUGCGAUGAAGGCCUUCGGGUCGUAAAGCACUUUUUGGAAGGAAUAGGAAGGAAUGUACUUCCAGAAUAAGUCUCGGCUAACUACGUGCCAGCAGCCGCGGUAACACGUAGGAGGCAAACGUUAUCCGGAUUUACUGGGCGUAAAGCGCGUGUAGGUGGUACUGUAAGUAGGGCGUGAAAGCUCCUGGCUCAACUGGGAGAUGCCGUUCUAAACUACAGAACUAGAGGAUGGUAGAGGGAGGGGGAAUUCCAGGUGUAGCGGUGGAAUGCGCA